AUAGCUGAAUUGUUGGCUAUGUGGUUUUAUGGGGCCCGAUAAUCUUUCUAAUCGCCAAACUUGAAGAAGAUUAUCGGGGUUUUCACUU
Molecule: antisense RNA, 88 nt
Filed under: Plasmid R124
Description: CopA-like RNA
Rfam family: CopA-like RNA
About the family: In several groups of bacterial plasmids, antisense RNAs regulate copy number through inhibition of replication initiator protein synthesis. These RNAs are characterised by a long hairpin structure interrupted by several unpaired residues or bulged loops.
Source: Rfam by way of RNAcentral